This 694-nucleotide ribosomal RNA is filed under the name bacterium. RNAcentral describes it as "bacterial SSU rRNA". It matches the Rfam family "Bacterial small subunit ribosomal RNA", at positions 72 to 764 of the family's 1533-position model. The record is from RNAcentral.
UGAGAAGCUUGCUUUUCAUGAGAGUGGCGCACGGGUGCGUAACACGUAUGUAACCUACCUUGAUCAGGGGGAUAGCCUCUCGAAAGAGAGAUUAAGACCGCAUAACAUUGCAAUGUGGCAUCACAAAGCAAUCAAAUAUUUAUAGGAUCAAGAUGGGCAUGCGGAACAUUAGCUAGUUGGUGAGGUAACUGCUCACCAAGGCUACGAUGUUUAGGGGAUCUGAGAGGAUGACCCCCCACACUGGUACUGAGACACGGACCAGACUCCUACGGGAGGCAGCAGUAAGGAAUAUUGGUCAAUGGGCGCAAGCCUGAACCAGCCAUGCCGCGUGCAGGAAGACGGCCCUACGGGUUGUAAACUGCUUUUAUACCGGAAUAAACCUCGAUUCGUGAAUUGAGCUGAAUGUACGGUAAGAAUAAGGAUCGGCUAACUCCGUGCCAGCAGCCGCGGUAAUACGGAGGAUCCAAGCGUUAUCCGGAUUUAUUGGGUUUAAAGGGUGCGUAGGUGGCUUUUUAAGUCAGGGGUGAAAGACGGUAGCUUAACUAUCGCAGUGCCCUUGAUACUGAAGAGCUUGAAUACACUAGAGGUAGGCGGAAUGUGACAAGUAGCGGUGAAAUGCAUAGAUAUGUCACAGAACACCAAUUGCGAAGGCAGCUUACUAUGGUGUCAUUGACACUGAGGCACGAAAGCGUGG